This is a long non-coding RNA of Daktulosphaira vitifoliae (grape phylloxera), 308 nucleotides long. RefSeq lists it as uncharacterized. NCBI's taxonomy places the organism in Eukaryota, Metazoa, Arthropoda, Insecta, Hemiptera, Phylloxeridae. The transcript is spliced from 3 exons. The record is from RefSeq and is a predicted model, not a curated record.
AUUUAUACUAAUGAUAGGGUUGACUCAGAAUUCAGGAAAUUGCACCUUUCAAGAAAAACGUAUCUCUGCUGAUUCAGACUAUGGCCAUCAAUCUUCAGGUUAUGUUUCUGAUGGUGAUGUUCUACAAUAUGAUAUACAAUCAAAACAAUAUCUAACUACAGAUCCUGGAUAUAUGUCUGAAGGACCAAUUUACAAUGAUUCUAAGUCAACUUGACACAGCUAAAUAUCUAUUGUCGUUUGAACCAUAUGAGUCUAUAGCAAAAUCUAGUAAAAUAUUUACUAGUAAUGUUAUGAAGUACAAAAUAUUU